GCCGAAGAACUAUGGUAGGUUAGCUGAAUGUUUGAUCCAAUUACUUUCUUAGGUUACAAGACCACGAGAAGCCGGUCCAGUAAAAGCGCAGAGAUGAUUUUUUUUGUGCUUGUGUGUGUUUCCAUUUUCUCAGCUUCCGACUGGUCUGGUUAGCCACGGAAUAAAUGGUUCACCUCUUGAAUUGUAUCAAACAGAGAGCUUGAGUCCUAACCCCCCUGGUGGAUGUCGACCGCCACACAAUGGUGUUCGCCAAAACGAUCCAUGAAUGAGGGAACCUUGGUGCAUGUGUUUUUAAGGUAAGAGGGAUCGCUUUUCUAACAUCAAGACCC
This 329-nucleotide small RNA is filed under the name Histoplasma ohiense. Its description in RNAcentral is "hypothetical lncRNA". Lineage: Eukaryota; Fungi; Ascomycota; Eurotiomycetes; Onygenales; Ajellomycetaceae. The record is from RNAcentral.